Molecule: unclassified non-coding RNA, 234 nt
Filed under: Micarea xanthonica
Lineage: Eukaryota; Fungi; Ascomycota; Lecanoromycetes; Lecanorales; Micareaceae
Description: partial contains 5.8S ribosomal RNA, internal transcribed spacer 2, and large subunit ribosomal RNA
Source: RNAcentral
CGCACAUUGCACUCCCUGGUAUUCCGGGGAGUAUGCCUGUUCGAGCGUCAUUUCACCUCUCAAGCUUUGCUUGGUAUUGGACAGUAUCAUUUUCUAAAUGAUAUGUCUGAAAAAUAGCGACAGUUUUAAUAUCAACAAACGCAGUGAAAAUAUUCGUUCUGUGGUUAUUGAAACUUGUCAAACACACAUCAAAUCUUUGACCUCGGAUCAGGUAGGGAUACCCGCUGAACUUAA